GACGAACGCUGGCGGCGUGCUUAACACAUGCAAGUCGAACGGAAAGGCCCUGCUUUUGUGGGGUGCUCGAGUGGCGAACGGGUGAGUAACACGUGAGUAACCUGCCCUUGACUUUGGGAUAACUUCAGGAAACUGGGGCUAAUACCGGAUAGGAGCUCCUGCUGCAUGGUGGGGGUUGGAAAGUUUCGGCGGUUGGGGAUGGACUCGCGGCUUAUCAGCUUGUUGGUGGGGUAGUGGCUUACCAAGGCUUUGACGGGUAGCCGGCCUGAGAGGGUGACCGGCCACAGUGGGACUGAGAUACGGCCCAGACUCCUACGGGAGGCAGCAGUGUGGAAUAUUGCACAAUGGGCGGAAGCCUGAUGCAGCAACGCCGCGUGCUGGAUGACGGCCUUCGGGUUGUAAACCGCUUUCGCCUGUGACGAAGCGUGAGUGACGGUAAUGGGUAAAGAAGCACCGGCUAACUACGUG
Molecule: ribosomal RNA, 468 nt
Filed under: uncultured bacterium
Lineage: Bacteria
Description: partial 16S ribosomal RNA
Rfam family: Bacterial small subunit ribosomal RNA
Source: RNAcentral